RNAcentral lists this ribosomal RNA (876 nucleotides) under Triticum aestivum (bread wheat). RNAcentral's name for it is "partial small subunit ribosomal RNA". Lineage: Eukaryota; Viridiplantae; Streptophyta; Magnoliopsida; Poales; Poaceae. The record is from RNAcentral.
AUGUUCUGCAAAGAAUCAUUGCUUUUCCUCAAUUUAUUUAUCAGAUGCACUCAAUCUGAAGCUUCCAAGACCAACAGUCAUCAUUCUAUAAGGUCACAACUCAUACUCUCAGAUUCUGAGGUCCUCCAGCAGUUCAUCAAGCUCCACCUCGUCACACGGGUCCAGAUCAAUGCCUCCUAUCCCCAUGGCGAUAUCAUCAAUGCCGACAUCACCAUGGUCAUCGCUUCUUCCACCGUCCUGCUGCAUCCUCUCGCCGUCGCCGCCCUUCUCGUAGAACUUCUUGACCAGCACCGCGUCCGGCAAGCAAUGGCUCUGCCCAUCCAGGUCAUUGGCGUUGGCGCCGCGGAGGUCGUAGCCAAGUGCACGGUCGCCGGGGCGCAGGAGGUGCCCGAGGUGCGUCCUCACGGUGAUGAUGGCGUCCGUCCUACCCAGCUCCGAUGCGCGGGCCACCUGCACGUACGCUGUCCGGUACCCGAACCUGGCGGCCGUGGCGUCGCCGAUGGCCAGCGAUGGGUCGACAUCCAGCACGACGUACUCCACGAGCUGGCGGCUGCUGAGCGUGGGCUCGAACCUGUGCCGGUCGUAGUCCUUGAUGCCGAGGCUGACAACGCGGUGGGUGGAGGCGUCGAGGAGGGCCAGCGUGUCGGUGACCCUGACACAGAGCACGAGCGGCCCGAGCCCGCCGAGCGCGCGGGACGCCUCCCUCGGAAGGAAGACGAGGUCAUCGCGGCACACCGGGCAGAGCUCAACGGAGAAGGCGUGCCGGUGGCGGUAUGUGUUGCUCUUGGUGUCAUGCGACACGAGCUGCCUCGCCGCGUCCGCCACGCGCGCCGGCGCGAGGGAGGCAAUGAGGGCGACAAGGCCGGCAGCGUGUGA